Molecule: long non-coding RNA, 294 nt
Organism: Perognathus longimembris pacificus (Pacific pocket mouse)
Lineage: Eukaryota; Metazoa; Chordata; Mammalia; Rodentia; Heteromyidae
Exons: 4
Source: RefSeq, a predicted model, not a curated record
UUUCAUCAGUUUGUGCCUAUAAUAGAGUCACGGGCGCAAAGAUCAUACAACAAAACAGCCCCCUUUAAGGUGCCGCCUUAAAAAUCGGAAGUGUUCCUUUGCUAGAAAAGUCACCAGCCCCCUACUAAGGAGCGCCGUUGACUUAGCACUGGUUAGACUGAAUGUCCAUCUGUCUGCCCACCAAGGAGAUAGCCCCACGCUCCAGGGCUGUGUGAUGCCCGGUUUUCCGGAAGGCAGCACUGUGGAGGGGCCGAGGCCUGGCGAACAGCCCCGCCCACUAGGCUAGCCACCCUG